This 510-nucleotide ribosomal RNA is filed under the name uncultured bacterium. RNAcentral describes it as "partial 16S ribosomal RNA". It matches the Rfam family "Bacterial small subunit ribosomal RNA", at positions 28 to 507 of the family's 1533-position model. The record is from RNAcentral.
GACGAACGCUGGCGGCGUGCUUAACACAUGCCAGUCGAACGAAGAGCGAUGGAAGCUUGCUUCUAUCAAUCUUAGUGGCGAACGGGUGAGUAACGCGUAAUCAACCUGCCCUUCAGAGGGGGACAACAGUGGGAAACGACUGCUAAUACCGCAUACGAUCUAAUCUCGGCAUCGAGGAUAGAUGAAAGGUGGCCUCUACAUGUAAGCCAUCACUGAAGGAGGGGAUUGCGUCUGAGUAGCUAGUGGGAGGGGUAACGGCCCCCCGAGGCGAGGAUCAGUAGCCGGGCUGAGAGGAUGAACGGCCACAUUGGGACUGGGACACGGCCCAGGAUUCUACGGGAGGCAGCAGUGGGGGAUCUUGCGCAAUGGACGAAAGUCUGACGGAGCAACGCCGCGUGAGUGAUGACGGGCUUCGGGUUGUAAAGCUCUGUUAAUCGGGACGAAAGGCCUUCUUGCGAAUAGUGAGAAGGAUUGACGGUACCGGAAUAGAAAGCCACGGCUAACUACGUG